RNAcentral lists this ribosomal RNA (269 nucleotides) under uncultured prokaryote. Its description in RNAcentral is "partial 16S ribosomal RNA". It matches the Rfam family "Bacterial small subunit ribosomal RNA", at positions 524 to 792 of the family's 1533-position model. The record is from RNAcentral.
UACGGAGGUGGCAAGCGUUGUUCGGAUUUAUUGGGUGUAAAGGGUAUGUAGGUUUCCUGAUAAGUCGAAUGUGAAAUCCCUUGGCUCAACCAAGGAACUGCGUUCGAUACUGUCAGGAUUGAGCACGAAAGAGGAGAGCGGAAUUCCCGGUGUAAGGGUGAAAUCUGUAGAUAUCGGGAGGAACACCAGUGGCGAAAGCGGCUCUCUGGUUCGAGGCUGACACUGAAAUACGAAAGCAAGGGGAGCAAACAGGAUUAGAUACCCCGGUA